CAUCCUUGUCAUCCACAGGAGGGAACCAUUUGUACCUUAAGGAAAUAGGAUGUUUCAGGUCAGUUUCCUCCUCCACAUUGACUUAGAGUUGUAAAUUGCAAGUACAAGAAGUUGGUCAGAUAAUUAAUUUUUUAAUCCAAAAUGUCUAGUAUCCCUUUUUAGUAAAUAUCCAAUAUCUAUAUUCAUCUGAUUCAGAAAGAGGAACUGUCGUCCCUUUGGAAGGGAGAGCGCAGCUCAGCUAUCUGUACGCGGCCGACAUACCAGCAUGCGUGGAUCGUGUGGCAGGGCAGGCACCGUCAGGGUGUGACCUUCGAAGCCAUGACGAUCUUCCUAAUGCUGCAGCAACGCAGACACCUCCUCCUCUCCUAGCUAUGACAACAUCUAUUUGGUUGUCUCAUCUACAAGGCAAAGCAAGGAAGGAGAACAAAGAUGAAUCAAGCUGCUUUGACAACAUCUAUUUGGUUGUUUCCUGUACAAGGAAAAGCAAGGAAGGAUAACAAACAUGAAUCAGAUGCAAUAAAAAACAGGAGAGCACGAUGAAAAACAUGCCACAGAGAUAUGAAGAAAUCUUGAUGACAUCGGCAGCCGAUGACUGAGACACCAUGUUUGUGCGGUGAACGAAUUUCCUGAUUUUGGAGCAAUGAAGCCUCAAAAUAUUUUUUUGGCAAUCCUGUUUGUUAUUCGGAAACUGCAAUUAAUGCAUAGUCCUACAUCCUUGUUGCAGCUAUCUCUAGAGUAUUUCAACAAACAUAUUGUGGGUGUGAGCAUAGGGCAAACUUGCAAGUCUUGACUCUUGUGUUCUGUAUCUAGUGCUUGUGGAUGACCAAGACAAGCACCAUAGUAACAAGUGCCUUGACGUUGCAGUCCAGGAAAGUAGUGUAUCACAUAUAUUUGUAUUUAUAGUACAGGAAAUCAAUCAGCCGCUGUUCAAGAGCACUAAAUGUAAGAAGAUCAGUUCCACCAGCGGCGAGACGGUCUGAGCCCUCGGCUCAUGCUGGAGUGUCAAUGACUGAGCUUCCUCCAAGAUAGUUCAGAAAAUUUAUGAAAAACAACACAAUGUCUUUGUCUUAGUAACAGAUUUACUAAUAUCCAAUUUAUUUCACAUGAUAGAUCAUUUGAAGGUAAAUCUACUAAAACUUCCUAGGUAUACAUAAGUCCCGUUCAAAUUAGGAACAAUAACAGCGAAGAACACCAAGCUUUGAAUGAUAUAUUUUUCGCAAUUGUCACUGGGGCUGAUAAUCCUACUACAAAGAUGCACAACCCUUUGAAUAUAAAAAACAACCACUAAUACCACAAAAGAGGAUGAGAGCCAGAUCAUCCAAAGAAAAAUCAAAGAAGGGUAAGAAAUAAUAAAGUGGGCAGAUAAAAUACAAGGAACAAACUCUCAACAACCAGCCAAAAUACCCCAACGAAAAUUCCAAUGGAACAACAAAAGAAAGAAGAAGAAUACAAAAGAGAAACAGGAGAUGCAAAUGAGAAAAAAUCUAAGCCAAAAAAGUGUGAUCAGAUCCAUGGGUG
This 1518-nucleotide long non-coding RNA is filed under the name Triticum aestivum (bread wheat). RNAcentral describes it as "long non-coding RNA (TAES_LNC014188)". Lineage: Eukaryota; Viridiplantae; Streptophyta; Magnoliopsida; Poales; Poaceae. The record is from RNAcentral.